Molecule: ribosomal RNA, 255 nt
Filed under: uncultured bacterium
Lineage: Bacteria
Description: partial 16S ribosomal RNA
Rfam family: Bacterial small subunit ribosomal RNA
Source: RNAcentral
UACGGAGGGUGCAAGCGUUGUCCGGAUUUAUUGGGUUUAAAGGGUGCGUAGGCGGCUUUUUAAGUCAGUGGUGAAAGACAACAGCUCAACUGUUGCAGUGCCAUUGAUACUGAAGAGCUUGAGUACAGAUGAGGUAGGCGGAAUUUAUGGUGUAGCGGUGAAAUGCAUAGAUACCAUAAAGAACACCUAUUGCGAAGGCAGCUUACUAAGCUGGUAACUGACGCUGGGGCACGAAAGUGUGGGGAUCAAACAGGG